RNAcentral lists this ribosomal RNA (1491 nucleotides) under uncultured prokaryote. Its description in RNAcentral is "partial 16S ribosomal RNA". It matches the Rfam family "Bacterial small subunit ribosomal RNA". The record is from RNAcentral.
AGAGUUUGAUCCUGGCUCAGGAUGAACGCUAGCGGCAGGCUUAACACAUGCAAGUCGAGGGGUAACAGGAAUAGCUUGCUAUUUGCUGACGACCGGCGCACGGGUGAGUAACGCGUAUGCAACCUACCUUUUACUGGAGAAUAGCCUUUAGAAAUGAAGAUUAAUACUCCAUAAUAAUUAAGACUCUCCUGAGUUUUAAUUUAAAGUUUCGGCGGUAAAAGAUGGGCAUGCAUGCGUUUAUUAGUUAGUUGGUAAGGUAACGGCUUACCAAGACUACGAUAAAUAGGGGUCCUGAGAGGGAGAUCCCCCACACUGGUACUGAGACACGGACCAGACUCCUACGGGAGGCAGCAGUGAGGAAUAUUGGACAAUGGAGGUAACUCUGAUCCAGCCAUGCCGCGUGCAGGAAGACGGCCCUAUGGGUUGUAAACUGCUUUUAUACAGGAAGAAACCUCCCCACGUGUGGGGAGCUGACGGUACUGUAAGAAUAAGGAUCGGCUAACUCCGUGCCAGCAGCCGCGGUAAUACGGAGGAUCCAAGCGUUAUCCGGAUUUAUUAGGUUUAAAGGGUGCGCAGGCGGGAAGAUAAGUCAGUGGUGAAAUCCUGUAGCUCAACUACAGAACUGCCAUUGAUACUGUUUUUCUUGAGUGCGGUUGAGGUAAGCGGAAUGUGUAGUGUAGCGGUGAAAUGCUUAGAUAUUACACAGAACACCAAUUGCGAAGGCAGCUUACUAAACCGUUACUGACGCUGAGGCACGAAAGCGUGGGGAGCGAACAGGAUUAGAUACCCUGGUAGUCCACGCCGUAAACGAUGAUUACUCGUUGUGCGCAAUAUACUGUACGUGACUGAGCGAAAGCAUUAAGUAAUCCACCUGGGGAGUACGUCGGCAACGAUGAAACUCAAAGGAAUUGACGGGGGCCCGCACAAGCGGAGGAACAUGUGGUUUAAUUCGAUGAUACGCGAGGAACCUUACCUGGACUUAAGUAGCGUGACUUUCCCUGAAAGGGGAUUUCUCUUCGGAGCAAGUUACAAGGUGCUGCAUGGCUGUCGUCAGCUCGUGCCGUGAGGUGUCGGGUUAAGUCCCAUAACGAGCGCAACCCCUAUUGUUAGUUGCUAACAGGUUAAGCUGAGGACUCUAGCGAGACUGCCACCGUAAGGUGUGAGGAAGGUGGGGAUGACGUCAAGUCAGCACGGCCCUUAUAUCCGGGGCUACACACGUGUUACAAUGGUCGAUACAAAGGGCAGCUACACUGCGAAGUGAUGCAAAUCUCGAAAAUCGAUCUCAGUUCGGAUUGAAGUCUGCAACUCGACUUCAUGAAGGUGGAUUCGCUAGUAAUCGUGCAUCAGCAACGGCACGGUGAAUACGUUCCCGGGCCUUGUACACACCGCCCGUCAAACCAUGGAAGCUGGGGGUGCCUGAAGUCUGUGACCGUAAGGAGCGGCCUAAGGUAAAACCAGUAACUGGGGCUAAGUCGUAACAAGGUAACCGUA